This 1112-nucleotide unclassified non-coding RNA is filed under the name uncultured fungus. RNAcentral's name for it is "sequence contains 18S rRNA gene, ITS1, 5.8S rRNA gene, ITS2, 28S rRNA gene". Lineage: Eukaryota; Fungi. The record is from RNAcentral.
CGUCGUACUUCGGCAGGUUCAGGUCGAGCAGGAUCAAGUCCGGCCGCGGUGCGCCCUCGUAUGAGCCCCGUUGAUAGAGGAAGUCCAGGCCCUCCUCGCCGUCGUGGGCGACGUGCAGAUUGUUGUUGAUCUUGUUGUGCUCGAACGCUUCACGGGUGAUGAGUUCGUCGCCCGGGUCGUCCUCGACCAGUAGGACGUCAAUGGCGCGUACGGCUGAUGUCACUCGUGGGUUCCUUCCAGAAGGGCAGUUGGGAUCUCAUUGGGUUCAGUCGUAGGGGUGGCAAGCAAUGUGAACUGGAUUCGGGUUCCCUGUGUGAAGGACGUGUCGACCCAGAUGGAUCCACCAUGGUGCUCGACGAUCUUCUUGCACAACGCUAGACCGAUGCCGGUCCCGCUGUACACCUCACGGACGUGUAGGCGCUGGAAGAUGACGAACACCUUGUCCGCGAACUCCGGGGCGAUCCCGAUGCCGUUGUCGGAGACGGUGAAGAGCCAUUCGCCUUCCUGCGGACCACUGCCCUUCUCGCACUCGAUGACGAUCCGCGGCGCAACCCCCUCUCGGCGGAACUUCACCGCGUUUCCGAUGAGGUUCUGCCACACCAUCGUCAGCAGGGUCGGGUCGCCGUCGACGGUGGGCAGCGCCUGGGCGGGCCGCACGAUCUCGGCGUUCGCUUCCGCGGUCGACGUCGACAGGUUGCCCAGCGCGAUUCCGAGCGUCUCCUCGAGGUCGACCUCGGUAUGCGUCGAGUUGAGCCGCCCGACCCUUGAGAAGGUGAGGAGGUCGUUGAUCAGGGCCUGCAUUCGCUUGGCGCCGUCGACGGCGAAGCCGAUGUAUUCGGUGCCGCGCUCGUCGAGUUGGUCGCCGUAGCGCUUCUCGAGCAGCUGGCAGAACGAAGCGACUUUCCGCAGCGGCUCCUGUAGAUCGUGGGAGGCGACGUAGGCGAACUGCUCGAGUUCCGCGUUGGACCGACGCAACUCCUCUGCCUGCUCGUCCAGCGCCGCACGGGCUGAGCGCGACGCUUCCAGCUCGUCCACGAUGCGCUGCCGCAUGUCCUCGACGUCGGCGGCAAUUGCACGGAUGUCUCGUGGACCCCGUGGGGUGAUGCGCUCCC